This is a long non-coding RNA of Parus major (Great Tit), 11316 nucleotides long. RefSeq lists it as uncharacterized. The record is from RefSeq and is a predicted model, not a curated record. NCBI's taxonomy places the organism in Eukaryota, Metazoa, Chordata, Aves, Passeriformes, Paridae. The transcript has 5 exons.
CUAUAUAUCCAACAUAAUUCAGUUUUGCUGGGUUUUUCUGAGGUCAUUUGCUGUGGAUGGAUCAUAGUUCUGAUCAAUCUGUUAGAUCUACAAGUCUUUCAGUGUUUUCUACCCUUUGUCACAGUUUUCUGUUUCACAGUGAAUUAUUAGGACCCUUUUAAGCCUUGCCCCUUAAACAAUGCCUGAGGCUCUCUGUCCUUGUGCUAAAGCUAGCUCUGGAUGCUCAGCCUCAGCAAGGGAACAUGCUUCCCUGGGACUCACACUCAACAGUCCAACAAGUCUUUCUCCUUUGACACCAUGCUGUUAGAGGUUUAAGAAAUUAUGUUGAUUUGAUUUAUCUUUCAUUAUACACAGGCAUUCUUCAAGAUCCAAAUAUCUCUCAGCUCUCUGUUGGAAUCCUUCACUGUGCACAGCCUUCUUGGCAGUAGCAUGUUGUAUGGUUUUAGCUCCUUUUAGCUUUCUGUUUGUUCUUUCAAUCUCAUUUCCCCUAAAGGUUGCUGUGGAACACCUUCCUUAUGAUGUUCCCACCCACACUGCCCUCCUGGGAGCUGGCUGCAGUGCAGUAGUGUUUCAUGGCUUACACUGCUCCAGGUACCACAUGAUGCUGUUGUCCACAUGCCUGUGAUGACUAGUCAGUUCUGACAUUGAUAGACUUGCAUAAGUGAAUAACCAGCAACUUCUCCACACCACUCCUCAUUUCAUUUCCCUUAAAUGUCUUUUUGUACAUAAAGAGUUCUGCUGAUUUAGUAUUUCCCCAUUUGGAAGAUGUUCCCACUUUUGGACUAUCCCUACUGUCCCUACUGGACUAUCUCCUACACCUGUACCAUUUCUACAAUGAUUUCUAAAAUAUCUGAACCUGAUCUGUCACCAGUAAGGGUAAUUUCACACCAUCUACACACCACCAUAAUUUCUGGUUUGACCUUUAUUCCUUUCUUACAUACUGAUACAGUCUGUAGGCUGGCUCUCUGCAAUCACUUGGCAGAGCACAGAGCACAGAGACCAAUGCUGUCCAAAUGUUUGUUCCCUGUGAUCAUGGUUAAUAAAGCUCACUUCUGACCUGUCCUACAUUGUACUUAUGUUAUGAAGCACUCAGUGUGCCCAGAUAUGACACUUGACAAAACUAUGUGUCCUCCUGACUGCUGUUAACAGUGAACUGAGUGCUUCCCACAGACCAACCAGCAGUUACUCCUAGUUCCCUUUUCUGUAUGGUAAUAGCCAAUUUAAAAGCCAUUCAUUUAUAUAUGCCUAGUUAAAAUUGUUUGCCUCCAUAUUCAUUAUUUUACAUUUAUUGACAUUGAAUUUUUGUCUGUUAUUUAACAGCCUGCAUAUCCAGAGCCUGUUCAUCAGACUAAAUGUAGAAAAAUGUCAUCUGGGCCAGGCACCAUGUCAUCCCAUUAUAGGCAGCAGAGAGAAAGAGUCAUCUCCAGGAAUAUGAGUCUUCCAAGUCUAAUGUAUAUAUCCCAAACAGACCAGGGGAAUCCAGCCUGUUCCUCUCCACUGAGUACAAAAAUGAGCCUCAGGUGGUUCUUUGUUUCUCUAACAGCUAUGCUCUGUUAGGUAAAAUAAAUCCAACCUGUUGUGAGCGGUCUUUCACAUUGCAGGCAGCCUUUGUUUAUAUUGCCUUAAACUAUUUUGUGUCAUCUACAAACCCUGCCAUGAUGCUAUUAGCUUUUCUCAGAUGAUUUUUGCAUGAAUGGGGCAGGCACACAAAUCCACAGAUGCUGAUGGGACUGCCCUGGAAAUCUCCCUUUAAAAAAAAUCCAAGGAAAACCCCCAUGACCUUUUGUUUCUACCCUUUCUUUUUUACUGUAAGAGCUUUAUUUAUUUAACAACCUUUUGGGAAGGACAUCAUCAAAACGUCUUCGGAAACAAAAGCAUGCUUCAUUAACAGCACCACCACAAUCUGUGCUCUCACUGACUAUUUCUAAGGAGUCCAAUGGAUUUAUGAUGUAAGAUUUUCUCCCCAUAGAAGUUCUAGGCUUUCUUAUAAGUUUCCUAUGUUGGUGUUCCUAUGUCAGCAUUACACAUCUAUAAGUGUUGGGACCUUUUCUAAUUUUCUUUUCCAAAACUGGGUUCACAUCUGUCUUCUAAGGAGAGGGUUGAGCAGUUUUAGCAGUUCUUUAACAACUCUGGGGUUCUGCUGAUGCAUUGCUACUGAUUUUAUUGUUCUUUCUUAAAUAUUCACCUACUAGAUUAGAGCUGCUCCUAUUUGUUGUCAUCAGGAAAGCCCACACAGUGGGAAUAUCCCUGAGUUUUUUGUGGCUUCCAAGCUCACCUAGUUUUCCUCUUUCUGGAAACCCCAUUGACCCUAUUGAUUCCCUAAUUUUCCACAGCAAGUUUGGGAGAGAUUUGACUAUGUCUUUUGGUUCUUUUAGCAAAUUGUCUUCAAAAUGGUUUUCAGACCUGACUCCUUAUGAUCUUACCUUUUGCUUACCAGAACACAAUCUACAUCUACUUCCUGGAGAUUUGUCUUCGAUGAUGUUCAUAUCGAUAAAAUAUUUUUUGCUUUGUUUUGUAAAAAGAUCAGUAUGCUGAUCAUAGUGGAGUAGGUUAAGUGAUGCUAUGACUUACAUUAGGCACAUAGCCUAUUAUUAUGGUGAAGGUGUAGUUCACCUACUUCAGCUCACAGACAGGAGUUUUGGUAAUAAUAAAGAGAAUAGUUUAUUUUAGUCUGAGAUGGCCCAAGGUAGGCAGCAGAGGUAUUUGUGCUCUGGUACCCUUCCUUUUCAUGGCAUUUUUAGAAUGCUCUCUGCUUCAUUAAAAAAAAAAAAAAAGAAACACCUUCCAUUUUUAAAUUAAUUGAGUUAAUACUGUUUUCACAAGAGAGGAGAUUCCUCAGAGGAAGGUCAAUAACAUAAUUAGCAAAAUAUAAUUAAGACACUGGUGCUGAAGAACAGGAACCAAGUCGUUGGCCAGAUGUUUCCCUUAGUACAGCUUGUAGGUUGGUUUCUGUCCUUUGGCUAGGCUUGUGAAAAAGACAGAAUUUAACAAGGAAAAAAAAAGCUCUUGGGUCUGAAUAUCUGGCACUUGAAAGUCAACACAAGCUAUGAUUUGGUUUUCUAAGCACUCAAUUUUUUGCAACUUUGCAUCAUGAGCAAGCAAAAAAGUCAUUGUUUAUGUUCUUCAUUUCAAAAGUCAAUUUUAUGUCACAUAUUGAUUUGCAAUAUUCAGUGCUUUCAAUUUACCCUUUUACAUAUAUUUGCAGAUAUAAGCCCAACUGAAGCCUGAAACAAGGCAAUUAGUAUAGCCUGCUAAAGCAGUCCAUACUCUCAAUUACUUGAUCUUAAUGAAUACUCUAAUCUCCGGGGCAUUCUAUAGAAAUAAAAACUAAUUUUAAAUAAUAGCCAUAUUUGAAAGUUUGAACUUUUGUUUGGAACUGCUUACAAAGAGAAAAAUCAAGAAUUAUCCAGUAAAUUACUGGGAAUGAGUUAUUGUUCUUGCUCUGUUGAUAAUUAUGGGAACAGAAGAAUUGCUAUAUUUUAGCAGUCUAGUGUGAUGAGUCUGUUCCCAUUUUUUGCACGGUGAUCAAUUCUUUAUGUUUCAAAGGCACAUUAUCUAGUAACCCACACAAAAGAACAGUUUUUAAUCUCUGGAAAUUACUGCCCGAUUUAGAGCCUCAAACAUGGCAAUGAGAGUCCCAAGUGUAUUAACUCUUCUUUUCUUAAAAUGACUCCUGUAAAUACCUGAAAUGCCAAGACCUGGUUCCACCCGCAUAUUGUAGGUUUGGUUCUGUUUUUAGUUUGUAGAGAAGAGUUAUUGGCAUUUCAUAUAUUUACUUGGCAUCUUCAGAAGAAGUACAUCUGUAUUUAUCUCUUUGACAGAUCCUGGAAAGGCAGGAGUUUCCCCACAUAGUUUUAUGGAGGCGAAGUAACCACAGCAUUAACAGAGGGAAUGAAAUCUGUCUUACCUCCUCAUUUUCAUUCUUCAAACUCCAGGUUUUUUUCCAUCAGAGCAAAAGAUGCGGCUAGCUUCUCACUCCUGCUAACUGGAUUAAGACUAACAGCUAAUUUUACGUACAGGAAUGUAAUUUUCCAAUUGCUUUUCCAGUUUCUUCAUAUGUUCCAAUUCUCACCUGGUAUAUAAUUCCAGAAAGACUGUAAACUCUAGUAAUUCAGUCAUGCAGACUGCAUCUUUAGGUGUUUGAAUGCUCUAAAUAUGUUUUCCUGAAGCUCAUUGAUUAACACAGGGCUCCAGAUUUUAUUUAGUGGCCUGUGAUUGUAUCUAUAAAUAUAUGUUUGGCCAUAGAUUUAAUUCUUUUGGAAACCCUGCUUAUGCAUGGAUGACUGAUGGACCAUUAUAAGUCAUUGACUGUAGAGAAGGUUAAUCAGACAAAUCUUCUCAUUAACCUGAAUCUGAUUCUCUUCUUUAUUAUUGAAAGACAGAUAAUUUUCAUUUUCACAGUGAGGUCAAGAAAUGAGUUAUUAUAAAAUAUGUCUAUAUGUUAAGCAUGUGUGCAUUUUAUAUGAGAGUUUAUAGAACAAGGAAUAUAUUGUGCAAAAGCAUUUUGUAGUGCCAUUCAAUCAGAAAAAGCUCACAGCACAUAUAAAUGAAUAGAAGACUGUUCUUUUCCAGUGUGCAAGUGCAUAAAAAUGACCUUGAUAGCUCUUCUUAUUUUCUUUUUUUUUCCCUAUCUCUGUGUUCCUAUAUUGUCUUUUUUUCAUUCUGCCAAUACUUUUUUACAUUGUUUUAUGUUGAUGUUUCAUUUUUGUUGGGCUGCUUACUUGCUUAAAUACAUGACAUUUCAUUCAUUCAGUGGUGAUCCCCAUAUUACUUUGUCUAGCCUAUUCCCAGUCUUGCACAUAACCCUAGUAACCUUAUAAGUGGCAGGCACAAUAUUGUCUCCAAGUAGUCUGUUCACAUUUUUGAAACAGAUCUGAACAUUGUGAGCUUUUUUUCUCAGACUGAUAGGUAAAGCCCUAUUUAUUUAUCUUAUUUGCCAAACAUGCUACGUCAAUAUGCCAUGAGGAGUUGUAUGUAGAUAGCAGGCCAACUCAUUCCUUAUGUCAUUCAAAAAUGACAGACUUAUUUAUAUAGUUUUGAAUUAUGAUUGGCAGUGUGCUACAUGUAUGCCUCCAUCUAUAUGUGGGAGAAGGAGUGAGACUAAGUCCAGCAUGUCCUCUUUCUUUGAAGUCACUGGAAUUUCCCUUAACAUUCACGUUGGAGAGAAAUCUGGAAACAGUAGGAUUUCCUAGCACAUCCUACAUAAUUAUAGGGAUGUCAAACCGUAAUUAAAUACUUAAAAUCUUGUUUCUGUUGCUAGCUGACCCUGGCAGAAUCAUAAGUCUCUUGGCACAUUUCUGCCAGAAAAGUCCUUAAUUUUUUGAAUGAUAUGUUGGGAACAUAACCAACACCAUCUCUUUGCUGAGAGUAACUAGGUGUUCUCAUAUAUCCACUAAACAUGGUAAUUUCUUCUGUUAGAUCAAUGUUUUGAUUUCUUCUCCAAUCAAUGUUUUAUAUCAAAUAAUUGAAUAAUCUUGAGAGCAGAAUGUAAUGACAUAGUCUUCCAUGCCUACUCCAAGUGACUAGAUUAGUGAGUAAUUUUUUGGCUUGCUAGCUCAACAGACAUACAAUCAUUUAAUUAAAACUGGAAAAAUUAACCUGAAGAAACUGGAGAGUGACAUACAGAUAUAUGUUGCUGGCCACAGCAAGAUUAAGGUUAAAACUGCCUUGGCAGAGGUAAAUGGGCAAGACUCCCACAGACCUGGAUGGUUGUCCUCAUUGCUCCUAGAAAGCAAGGAAACCAAGAAGGUUGCAUUAGCAGCUCCUGGGGCUGAGGGAAAAAAGGUUUUCCCCCUCAGCUCAGUGCCAGCUGGAUGAGAGAGUUCUCUAUUCCUUCUGGUGGCUUUGCCUGUUCAGAGACAUGUGGAUGUCCCCGCAUAUACAACAGGGAGCCUAGGUAUAUAAGGCAGGGCUGGAUAUUUCUCUGUGGGACAAGAUCUUGGAUUCAUCCCGUGUAACAGUCAGCCUGAAUUAUUGCUCGGAAUUCUCCAUUAACUUCAGAGGAGCUCUGCAAGGUCUUUGUUUCUGGCUAAGGCUCCCAAAGUUAGCGGGAUGAAGCCGGCUGAAAGUGUCAGAAGUUCAAAAUUGCGACACUUGAUACUGCAGUUUCUAAAGGCUUUUGUGGAGUCAUCUGGUGGGGAAAUUUUGGUUAGGUAAAUGCAGUGGUAUUUUACGAUUGACUUUAAUAGCCCUGGAAGUAAUUUAAAGAAUUCUGUAAAAUAGCUAAUGCUGCUGCUCUAGAAGUAGGUAUUAACUGCCUUUGGUCCAAUAAUAUUGAGGCAUCAAAGCUGUUCCUCCUAGGUCUUGCUGUAAUGAAAGAUAGGGUUUUAACCAUUCUUUAAAAGCAGUGAAUCGUUUCAAUUCUUUCUCUCCUGAAAGCUCUUUCUAUCAGAUGUAUUUUGAUAGAGUUAGAAUCAUGUCCCUGUUUUCUUGCUAAAUGUUCCUAUUUAUAUGUUAAAAAAGCUGGCAGGUUUGCAAGUACUGAAAAAAAAAACCCUCAAGGGGACAGCAUUUUUUAAAUGGAAUGGGAUUCAAAGUGAGAAUUCAUGAAUAUGCCUUUGGCUAGCUAUGACUGCAAAUCUUACAGAGAUCUGUGAUACUCUUAUUCAGCAGAGUCCAGCUGGGAACUGGCAUGUUGUGUCUGUGUAGCCCUUUGCUCUCUGCAUCUGUAGAGAAGGAGGUGAGUCUCGAGCCCCGCGGAGGGGGAGGACACGGGAGCUCUGGUGCAGUUUGGGGCUGUGAUUAUAGCUGGAGAGUAGGCUCUCUGCAGGAGGUCAUGAAACCUGGAUCACUAGCAUGAAACUGGGCUACUGUCAGCCUUUUAUUUGGCUCUUGAUGAAGAAACUGUGGACUGAGGAAACCUUCCUGAGCUCAGUGCUAACAUAACCAUCACUAGAAAUCUGUUUUGGCAUUUGCUGGUUUCUUCUCUUUGAACACUGACUCUACAGAAUAGAAAUUACCAUAUUGCACUGUGCAUCCUUAAUACAGAAAGCAAUUAUAAUCACUGCCAAGAUAAAAACAUCUGCCUGAGGGAAGAUCUUGCUGGUCUGGCCAUGAAGCUGUUGCUGAGGUAGAGCACUGAUAAUUAUUCCAGCACUGCUCUGUUACAUGGCUCAGUUCGCUUCUUCUGAUUGUGCUUCCAUUUUACUUUUUUCCUACAUUCCCAUAAACUCUUGGAUGAAAAAGGCCUUAAGAGCUGAGAAGGUCUUAACAAGGAAGAACUACUGUCAGCUGCCACAGAUUAGAUAAAGUGCUGCAAGGGCUGUAGGGUGGAAGGAAAAAUGGCACCAGUCAAGAUACUGGUCUAAAUUUUUUUUGCCUGAUUGAAAGCCACUAAAGCCUAAGAAUGUACGCAGAGAUAACUCAUUGUUAUACUUAAUGGGCAGCUAGUUGUAUUGCAUCAGGCUUCCUUUAUGUUACAGAGUAAUUGGACAAAGCAGAGUCUUGCCAUACCAACAGGCAUGGAAAAGCCGGGAAAGAUUUCUGUAUAGAGAGAUGGAGGGACCACAGCUGCUUGAUUCGGAAAGCAAAUAAAAAAGCUUGGUGUCAGCCUCAGCUGCUUUUCACAGCCUAAGAAGUAUUAAGGAAUGUGAAUUUGACAAGAAACAACUGAAGAGGAGUACACUCAUUCCUAAGGUAACUCUGCUGACCUUGCUAGAGCUGAUCCAAAGUUCAGUUUAGCCUUGACCUGUUUUUCUGUAGUUUGCAAGUUGUGUUUCUGGAGAACUGCUUCUGCUGCUGUUCUAUCCAUCUUUGUUCAAGGCAAUAACAAAAGAAGUGAAAAGGGUUCAGGGAACGGUGGCAAACAUAAUUGGAGCACAGGAAAACUCAUAUGAAGGGAGAUUAAUAAGGUUGGAGCUGUUUCUCUUAGAGAUGAGACAAAUAAAAAGGAGGUAAAAUAAAAAGAAAUCUGGAAGGACUCAUCCACAUUCCCCUUGUGACCCACUAAAGGGCCUUUAGAGGUCCACAGCCAUGGAAUUGAACUAAGCUACUGAUACCUUCUCUCCCUGCCAGCUGAAUGUGCAGUUUGGCUCUCUGCCCUGUGCCUUUUGGGGUGUAAAGGUUAAAAGUCAUUCAUAUAGGGGAGGGGCAGCUGUGGUCCCUGUUUCCCACCCAAGAGAAAAUAGAGGGAGUCACAGAAAAUCUGAGAAUAUUCCAAGUCAAAGGAAAGAGAGAUAUCUCUCCACUUAACACACAAACACCCAUGGAACUAGGCAAUAAAUAAUGUUUGAAGAUACUAUGUUUGUAACAAGAGUUUUUCGGGUUAUAAGAGGUGCUGGUAAAGCUGGGUGCAGCUGUGCAGCCUAGGGGAUGCUGGAUACUCUAUGGGUGGGAAAGGGGAUACACAAAGACUGGCAGCAAGCAUGCACCCCAGGAAAAGGCAAGGCUGAGGUGUCUGAGGCUUCAGCCACACUGGGGAGUUAGCUGCCUGAGUCCAGUCAUUAUCCAGCAUCAUCUGAGCUGAGAGAGUCAGCCCAGCUUGUGAACAUAGCCUGUGGUCAGUGUGGACAGCAGUAUUCACAGAGGAAUGAAACUGGGUCAGAGCAAACACAGUUUCUCAUGCAUUUGCAAUAGACAGGCAGCAGAAACAAAUAAUCAGCUACCAUGGUUCACUUGGUAUUUAGUAACGCUGGGGUGAUGGUGAAAUAUCACAAGACUGAGUCCUAAAAACAUGCCACCUCGUGCCUCUGUAUUUCAUAGGCAACAACCAUUGUGACGAUCUCUGAGGACUCACCAAACAAGUUCCCUUAGCAGCUGAUGAUAGUGCUGUACUUUCUCAGUGAAUUCCAUUUCAUGUCAGUGUACUUUAUUUGAUGAAUAUUUCUUUUUUUGCUGCAGGGCUUCAGCAGCAGUGCAGAUGGAGACUGCCAUGCCCUCGCUUUUUACCGAGUGGUUCAUUCACAGUACACCUGGGUUUGUAACCCAGCAAGCCCCAGAAAUUGUGUAAAUGCAUCUUCUGUGCCUGGCCUGAGUAUCUGGUGGGUUCCUUACUGUCCAGCAAACACCUACAGACUUGGCUGCUGUUUGGGAAAAGGGAAAGGAUCAAGGCAAUUCCUGGGACACUGCAGGGACUAAGCCCCAGAGAUGACAGUGGAUCCCUGCUCCCAAGCCUGUGGUUCAGAGAUUCAGUCCUCAAGUGAAGAAGUCCAAGAGGGCAGCUCUAAAGUGUUGGUGAUUCACCACAUCCCAAUGUCAAUCAAAGUGGAUCAGAAAGAUGACAUCUGGAAAGUGCCAUUUUUCUCUUUUAUAUUUGAGAAUAAAAAUCCUCACCAAUGUCCUGUUUCACCGUGACUGAAUGUAGAUGCACCUACUUGACCUGGAAGGCAAUACGGCCCAGGUUCUUUUGUGUCAGUUAGAUUAAAAGAGGAAAAAGGUGGCUCUUCUGAUCUUUCUGCAAAGUAUAUUUCCAGAGGCUUUUGGAGAAACUCAUCCUUCCUUGAAAUGCACUUGACUGAGAAGAUACUUUGAAAAUAUAGAGUGCAAACAACUCCUCCAGUGGUUUUGUUGGAGAAAAAGGAGCAGGAGGAAUUCAUCAUACUUGGCUAUACUGAGCAUGGAAUGCCUUCUUUGGAAAACUAUCUGCAUCAAGAAUAGCUGUGUUGCAACUUACGUUCCUGCAAUGAAAUUCUUUUAAAAGAUCAGUUUAGACUUAUCUGUAAGAAUUUUACAAAUUUUGACUAAAUGUAACAUUUCCAUUAAUGUGUUGCCAGUAUGUUGAGGAUAACUCAUUAGAUAACAUGGACUUAAGGGAUCUGUGAACUGAAUAAUGGAGGUUCUUGAAGUAAAGUAGUAAAUAUCUUUUUCAGAUUAUGUGUUUACAGUUUUCUAACCCUUCCAGUGCUGGGCAAUCAAAAAUUUUAUCUACAGUUUACCCUGACUUUUCAAGUCAUCAUCCUGUUUAAAGGCAGACAACAGGAAUAAAUGAAAUCAAUACAAAGAGCCGCACAUUAAUUUGUGCAAUUUUUUUUGUACUCUAUAAGCUAUUUGUGAAAUGAAAUUAAGAUACUCUAAUAUGGUUUAAUUAUAGGUAGGCCAGAUGAGACUUGGUAUUUAAAGACAGUGAAUGUGUAUAUUUAAAGAGAUGAAACUCCUGUCACACUCGGAAGAUAAAGCAAAAAAAGGAUGAUAAAAUAGAGUGGUGUUUAGGUUCAUGUCUGAGGCUGACUGGAGCCAGAUGUUGGAUUUAGAUGUGGUGGUUGCUGGGUUCUUAUGAGCUUUCUGCUGCUGAGAGCACACCAGAGUGGGGCAGAGAACUGCUCUGAUGCUGUUGUGGCCAUAAGCUGUUAAGUACAAGUAUAGUCAGUUUUCCUUCUUUUGAAGACCAAGUGAAAAACAGAAGCAACAUGAGAAAGCAAAGGUUUGGGGAUUUUUUGUGCAAAAGUGACUCAUUGUGAGACAUCUAAGUGGGAAAAUUGGGUAUUUCUUAUUUUUGCAAAAGCCAGACAAAUAAGAGGAUGUUUAUUAGGUCACAUGUACAAAUCAGGCACUUCUGAAGCUGGAUGGGAGGAAAACCUUUCCGGUUCAGAACUUAUAUCUCAGCUUAUAUCUCAUUCCUGGCUGAAGAAGAUGGAAUUCAGAGGCCCUCUUGGCCACCAUGCUGAAUACAGUCUCUUUGGGCUCUAUAGGCUCUUUGAACCUACAGAUCAUCUCUUGCACAUUUAAUCAGGAAUAAUCUAGGAAGGUGUUGCACAAAACCACUAGCACCCAAGCAGGACCUACGGUAGCAAAUAUGUGAGGCCCACUGGGAAUGUCCUGACUCAUUAUUCUAAGAAUUUCUUUCUCUAUUAAAAUAUCUAUUUAAAUAUUUCAUGAGUUUUUAUUUUCCUGGGAAUUCAGCUUUAAUUGAAGAGGGAUAUCUGAAAAAUGGAAGUGAUAUUCCUGGGUCAGAUGUUUGCCAGCAUUAUUAGUGGCUUUUUGAGAAGCUAGUCAUGAGAACAAGCCUUCCUCUGUCACAGGUCCUUGAGUGUUCUCCUGGCCAAGCCUUGGUAGAUGUUCAGUUUCCUCAGGGAGCUUGAGUUUGGUCCCCUUCCACCUUCCUUCUGGCCUUUGAUGCAUUUUGAAGAUGCAUAUUCACAGGUUAAGACGUCACAUAUUGCUCUAGCACAAACAGGAUUUAAUAUUAAUCUUUGUUUACUCAACCGUGUAAGUUGUAUUUAUUCUAAGAUCUGUUAAGUUUAAUACUGAUAAAUUGAGCACUUUCUUAAUGCAUGUUCACAUUCUGUCUUAGUCUAUUAUAUAUGUGCUAUAUAGAUGUGGUGCAUUUGCUUUAUAAACCCAAAAAUAAAGUCAAGAAUAAAAAAUGCUUUUGCAAACCAA